CCUACGGGUGGCAGCAGUGGGGAAUAUUGCACAAUGGGGGAAACCCUGAUGCAGCGACGCCGCGUGAGCGAGGAAGUCUUUCCGUAUGUAAAGCCCUAUCAGCAGGGACGAAAACCGACGCUACCUGACUACGUCGCCCCUGCUACAUACGUGCCAGCCGCCUCGGUCCUUCGUAGGGGGCAAGCUUUAUCCGGAUUUACUGGGUGUAAAGGGAGGGUAGACGGGAAGGCAAGGCAGGAGGGAAAGGGCAGGGCCUCAACCUGGAAAUGCUUUUGAAACUGUGGGGCUAGAGUGCAGGAGAGGUAAGUGGAAUGCCUGGUGUAGCGGUGAAAUGCGUAGAUAUUAGGAGGAACACCAGUGGCGAAGGCAGCUUACUGGAGUGUAACUGACGUUGAGGCUCGAAAGCGUGGGGAGCGAACAGGAUUAGAUACCCGUGUAGUC
RNAcentral lists this ribosomal RNA (441 nucleotides) under uncultured bacterium. Its description in RNAcentral is "partial 16S ribosomal RNA". It matches the Rfam family "Bacterial small subunit ribosomal RNA", at positions 338 to 795 of the family's 1533-position model. The record is from RNAcentral.